CCUACGGGUGGCAGCAGUGAGGAAUAUUGGUCAAUGGGCGAGAGCCUGAACCAGCCAAGUCGCGUGAGGGAGUACUGCCCUAUGGGUUGUAAACCUCUUUUGUCGGGGAGCAAAAGCCGGACGGGUCCGGCUGUGAGAGUACCCGAAGAAAAAGCAUCGGCUAACUCCGUGCCAGCAGCCGCGGUAAGACGGAGGAUGCGAGCGUUAUCCGGAUUUAGUGGGUUUAAAGGGUGCGCAGGCGGAUUUUGAAGUAAGCGGUCAAAUAGUGGGGCUCAACCCCAUCCAGCCGUUGAAACUGGGGAUCUAGAGUGUGCGUGAGGUAUGCGGAAUGCGUGGUGUAGCGGUGAAAUGCAUAGCUAACACGCAGAACCCCGAUUGCGAAGGCAGCAUACCGGUGCACAACUGACGCUCAGGCACGAAAGCGUGGGUAUCGAACAGGAUUAGAUACCCGAGUAGUC
Molecule: ribosomal RNA, 458 nt
Filed under: uncultured bacterium
Lineage: Bacteria
Description: partial 16S ribosomal RNA
Rfam family: Bacterial small subunit ribosomal RNA
Source: RNAcentral